Sceloporus undulatus (fence lizard) is the source of this 4877-nucleotide RNA transcript. It is a transcript of the gene named component of oligomeric golgi complex 3, with no coding region annotated. The record is from RefSeq and is a predicted model, not a curated record. Lineage: Eukaryota; Metazoa; Chordata; Lepidosauria; Squamata; Phrynosomatidae. The transcript is spliced from 24 exons.
GGGAACGGAAGUGGCGUCACUGCCGGGGCCAGGCUUGGGUAGAGGAGUUCCUUCUGCGCGGCGGAGGGAUGGCGGCGCUGUCCGGAGAAGCGGGGGAGCGCCUGGCGCUGUGGGAGCAUCCCGCUCUGCCCCUGGCUCCCCUCAGCGAGCGGCAGCGGGACUCGGUGGCGGAGCUGCGCGAAGCCCUGCCCUGCCUGCCCGCCCCUCCGGAGCUUCCUAUUGAAGAUUUAAUCAGCCUUGGGCAGCCAUCAUUAACGGUAACACUAACAGCCACAGUACCAGAAUCCACAGAGGAUAUCAUCUUCAAAGGGUUCUCUGCUUUGGGCUUGGAAAAUGAAAUAAUUGAAACUGCACAACAGUUCUUCUCUUGGUUUGAUCAGCUUGGUACCCAGAUGGAUCAAAAUGAAGGGGCUAAAUACAGGCAAACAAGGCUAUAUUUGUCUGGAUUUGAAGAGCAGUGUGAUGCUAUAUUGAAUGAUGUGACCAGCGCUCUUCAGCACUUGGAAUCAUUACAGAAGCAAUAUUUCUUUGUGUCAACCAAAACAGGAACCCUCCAUGAAGCCUGUGAACAGCUGUUGAAAGAGCAGUCAGAGCUUGUGGAACUGACAGAAGACAUCCAUCAGAAAUUGUCAUAUUUCAAUGAACUGGAAAAUAUUAAUACAAAACUGACUUCCCCUACGCUGUCUGUAAAUAGUGAUGGUUUCAUCCCUAUGCUUGCUAAGCUUGAUGACUGUAUUGCUUAUAUUACAUCACAUCCAGACUUUAGGGACUAUCCUGUAUAUUUAGCAAAGUUUAAACAUUGCCUUUCUAAAGCAGUGCACCUCAUGAAAACAUACACUGUGCAUACACUGCAGAACCUGACAAACCAAUUAAUUAAAAGGGAUCCUUCUGUGGCACCAAAUUCAGAUAAUGCCUUCACUUUAUUUUAUGUAAAGUUCAGAGCAGCUGCUCCCAAAGUCAGAGCACUUAUUGAGCAGAUAGAGCAGCGAUCUGAGAAAAUGCCAGAGUACCAGCAACUGUUAAAUGAAAUCCAUCAAUGUUACCUUGAUCAGCGGGAACACUUACUGAGCCCCAGCAUUACUAGUACUGUAAUGGAAUUAACUAAUCGCAACAACAGAGAUCAUUGUGCUCUGGUGCGAAGUGGCUGUGCCUUUAUGGUUCAUGUGUGCCAGGAUGAGCAUCAACUGUAUGACGAGUUCUUCACAAAACCAACACCAAAACUAGAUGAACUUUUGGAGAAAUUAUGCCUGUCAUUAUAUGAUGUCUUCAGGCCAUUGAUCAUCCAUAUAAUUCACCUAGAAACACUGUCUGAACUCUGUGGGAUUCUCAAAAAUGAAAUGCUUGAAGAUCAUGUGCAAAACAAUGUGGAACAGCUGGCUGCUUUUGCUGCUGGAAUUAAGCAGAUGUUGGAGGAUGUUCAAGAGCGCCUGGUGUACAGAACAUAUAUCUAUAUUCAGACUGACAUUGCUGGUUACAAACCUGCCCCAGGUGACCUUGCUUAUCCUGCUAAGUUGGAAAUGAUGGAGCAAAUUUCACAGAGCUUAAAAGAUGAAGCGAAAAAGUUGCCUGCAGAUACAGCACUGUCGGCUACAAAACUGGAUGAUCCAAAAAGCUACAGUGUGGUAAAACUUGAUACAUUGGAAUCCAAUAAUCUUAGACUUCAGACUACAGUUUCACCUGCAGAUCUCCAUGGAAUGUGGUAUCCUACUGUCAGAAGGACACUUGUGUGUCUUUCCAAGCUUUACAGAUGUAUUGAUAGAGCAGUCUUCCAAGGAUUGUCACAGGAGGCCUUAUCUGCCUGCAUACAGUCAUUGUUAGCAGCUGCAGAGUCCAUUGCUAAAAAUAAGACUCCGAUAGAUGGACAGCUUUUCUUAAUAAAACACCUUUUGAUUCUUCGUGAACAAAUUGCUCCUUUCCACACUGAAUUCACGAUAAAAGAAAUUUCUUUGGAUCUUAAGAAGACUAGAGAUGCUGCAUUUAAAAUCCUGAAUCCAAUGACAGUUCCACAUUUUUUUAGACUGAGUAGCAACAAUGCACUGAUACAGUUUUUACUGGAGGGUACUCCAGAAAUCAGAGAACAUUAUAUUGACUCUAAAAAGGAUGUGGAUCGGCACCUCAAGUUUGCCUGUGAGCAGUUCAUUCAGCAGCAAACCAAGCAACUUGUAGAACCUCUGGAGGAAUUCCUCGCAAAGGUUUCUGCUUUGAAAACAAUGGCUACUCAAAGGGGUCCAAAGUACAACCUUUUGCUGCAACCAUGGGCACAGCCAGCAAAGGUCAGUGACUUAGUGUCUUCAACAUACAAGACAAUAAAAACAAAACUCCCAUCAACUCUACAGAGUAUGUCCCUGUAUUUAUCCAAUAAAGACACAGAAUUCAUUUUGUUCAAGCCAGUAAGGAACAAUAUUCAGCAAGUGUUCCAGAAGCUGCAUGCUCUUUUGAAAGAAGAAUACAGUAAUGAAGAUCUCCAGAUCAUAGCUUGCCCUUCAAUGGAACAGGAGUAAUGAAUGGAAGCAAUUGGAGCAGCAAAAACCACAGAAGCUUAAUGGGAGAGCCAACAAAACAAUUAAAGCCACCAGCAAAUAGCUGGCAGACCAGCCUACAUUCAGAAAGCAGACAGUGGACCACUGCCCUGAUAUCACAGAUGGAAUACCUAGGAAGACUGAAGUGUUCUGACCCAGGCUUUUGUGUAUUUCCAUUCCUUCAUGUCCAUCUGGUGCAGAGACUGGCCUGUUUGCCAAAUGUAGAGGGCUGAAGGGCAUGGCUGACAGAGAAUGGCAUAUUAGAGGAUGAGUACAUGAAAGUACCUCUAUAUUGUGGGUUAUGUGAUUAGGUCCUGUGAUAACAUUUCCUGAGUAGAUCAAUCCAUCAACAGAGGGUUGAAGAAAGACAAUGGGUUUCUACGCACAAAAUAACAUACUGCACAUAAAACUGGACCUUCUUAGCCCAGUCUCAUAUCUCCUUUCUGGUUUCCAACCUGCACACACCACCUUCCAAAACUCCAUCAUUCAUAGGGGCACCCACCCACCCUGGCCUUAGCCAACAAAUUUACUCCUAACUUUGUCCCUCAAUGACCGCUGUGAAACCUGAACCUGCCACCGCAUCACCAUACCUGCAAAUGUUAUGGGCAUUCAUACAGUCAAAUCAUACAAUCGUCCAUGCAUCUCAAGAAGUAGACCAAGUUGACGAAAGCUUGUGCUACAACAACUUUCACACAGUCUCAAAGGUGUUGCAAAAUCUCUUUGCAUACUGACAUUUCAGAGUAACACAGCUCUGAAUUCUACCAUAAUGGAAACAAGAAAUGAAAGCAAUAUAUCAUGUGAAUAGGAAAUAAAAAGUAUAAAGACCCAAUUGUGAAUCUGUCUGUCGGGGGUAAAAAAACAACAACAAAGGCUGACUUGGCAUCCAUCUCAAGAAGGUAGUGUGCACCCCACAAAGGGAUUCAUCACCCUGUCAUGAGGCUAGGGGAUCAAAGUGGGGCAUGCCAUGGGUGGGCACACAGAUAAGUCUCCUUGUGAUACUUUUGGUUUUUCUCUGGAACCAAGGCUGUGCUUCCCACUGCCUUUCCAUCUAAAUAUGUAUUUUUCUAUGAUGUCCUAAAAGAUAAACUUUGUUUGGAGAAGCCUGGAGUUAUUGUAGUAGGCCUUACUGCUGCUAGUCAAUUUAUGAUAUACUUCCUAUUUUAGAAAAGGCCUCUAAAACAGCCAGGGCGCUUCAAAAAACUUUACAAAAUUGCCCCUCCUACAUUUUUACUGUGGAAAAAUUCCCUUAAAGGGUGGCAGGGGUCUCCAACCCCACACAUAGGUGUAUUGGUCUAUGACUGGGGAAAUGGAUGAUCAUACUUCACAUUCUCGCAUUCGCACUGCCCUGGUGCUACGUUCCACAAGUAUUACCAAACAAUGAAAUAGAGCCACAGUCACAUCAGCUUGGGCUAAUAUUUAUUAAAUCACUUACAUAAAAGAACAUGCUUUCAAUUCAGUAUUUUUAUUUAUUAAUUGCCAAAUAAUAAUCCACUGCAAUGAAAUAACAAAACACAAGAGUAAGUUCCGUUAUGAAGUGUGAGAGCAUGAACACAAAUGUGUAUUAACUAAAAAAAUCCAUGUAGAUGGUUACAUACUGCCAAUACUGUUAAGCUUUUUUCUUUUCUUUUACUGAUAGGUUAAUUUAGUAUAGUCCAAUCCUAUAACUGCAAUGCUAGGCCUAAAUUCAGUUAACACUGCUAUGGGUAAUAAGAGUGCAAAUCAAAAGCAUUUAAAAGGCCCAUGCUAGGAUCUCACUCAGUGGGACUCUCUCCCAUCCACAAGGACUGUAGGGAGCUACAAAUAAUUUCAGUGACUUACACAUUGUGCUAUCUUUAAUUAUGAAACUGUAACUCUCCACCAUGAUAAAAAACAACAUUCUGUGGCUUAGUUACCAUUAAUUUAGGUCUUGCUAAGUCCUGUUAAUUAAAGUGACAGUAAAUUGAAUAACUCUUUGAUAUAAAUAAAAAUGGGAAUGUCAUCCUUCCUGCCCUUAAAAAAAGCUUUCAAUCUUUUUUUUCUCAAUAUAAGAUUUUUAAGUCUAUACAAAGGCAAAAUGUACAUAUUUACAUUCAUAUUAUUAAAGCACUUCAGUUGUUGGGGUUUUGUUUUUUGUUUUUGGCUGCUCUGGAAUGGGGAGGGGAGAGUCAGCAAAAGAGAAAUCCUGCUAUUUUGGACCAUGGCUAAUAAAUACUUCAAAAGGAAUUGCAAUGAAUUAAUUUCCUUUACUGUCAAUGAAAUUGUAUAAAAGCAUCAGCAGGGGAAAAUUUACAGUAAUUCAAGGAGGAGAAAAUGCAAAUAGCUUUGGACAUCAAAAUAACAGAUUGUUGCUUUUGGUUCCUUUGAAGAGGGAGCCUACAA